CCUACGGGAGGCAGCAGUGAGGAAUAUUGGUCAAUGGGCGUAAGCCUGAACCAGCCAAGUCGCGUGAGGGAUGAAGGUCCUAUGGAUCGUAAACCUCUUUUAUAGGGGAACAAAGGGCGGGACGUGUCCUGUUCUGGAUGUACCCUAUGAAAAAGGAUCGGCUAACUCCGUGCCAGCAGGCGCGGUAAUACGGAGGAUCCGAGCGUUAUCCGGAUUUAUUGGGGUUAAAGGGUGCGCAGGCGGCAUGUUAAGUCAGCGGUGAAAGUUAGAGGCUCAACCGCGGAUUGGCGGUGAAAACGGGGGGCUUGAGUGGGUGAGAAGCAGGCGGAAUGCGUGGUGUAGCGGUGAAAUGCAUAGAUAUCACGCAGAACCCCGAUUGCGAAGGCAGCCUUCCGGGGCGCGACUGACGCUGAUGCACGAAAGCGUGGGGAUCGAACAGGAUUAGAUACCCCUGUAGUC
RNAcentral lists this ribosomal RNA (459 nucleotides) under uncultured bacterium. RNAcentral's name for it is "partial 16S ribosomal RNA". It matches the Rfam family "Bacterial small subunit ribosomal RNA", at positions 338 to 795 of the family's 1533-position model. The record is from RNAcentral.